CAGCAUGGUCUUAGCUUGCUAAGGCCGAUGGCGACCGGCGCACGGGUGAGUAACACGUAUCCAACCUGCCGACAACACUGGGAUAGCCUUUCGAAAGAAAGAUUAAUACCCGAUGGCAUAGUUCUUCCGCAUGGUGGAACUAUUAAAGAAUUUCGGUCAUCGAUGGGGAUGCGUUCCAUUAGGCAGUUGGUGAGGUAACGGCUCACCAAACCUUCGAUGGAUAGGGGUUCUGAGAGGAAGGUCCCCCACAUUGGAACUGAGACACGGUCCAAACUCC
This 277-nucleotide ribosomal RNA is filed under the name uncultured Bacteroides sp. RNAcentral describes it as "partial 16S ribosomal RNA". It matches the Rfam family "Bacterial small subunit ribosomal RNA", at positions 68 to 339 of the family's 1533-position model. Lineage: Bacteria; Pseudomonadati; Bacteroidota; Bacteroidia; Bacteroidales; Bacteroidaceae. The record is from RNAcentral.